This 841-nucleotide ribosomal RNA is filed under the name uncultured Pseudomonadota bacterium. RNAcentral describes it as "bacterial SSU rRNA". It matches the Rfam family "Bacterial small subunit ribosomal RNA", at positions 76 to 914 of the family's 1533-position model. Lineage: Bacteria; Pseudomonadati; Pseudomonadota. The record is from RNAcentral.
UCCUUCGGGAUGAGUACAGCGGCGAACGGGUGAGUAACGCGUGGGAAUCUACCCUUUAGUGAAGAAUACCCUCGAGAAAUCGAGGUUAAUACUGCAUACGUUCCUUCGGGAAGAAAGCUGGCCUCUUUGCUGGCGCUAAAGGUUGAGCCUACGUACUAUUAGUUAGUUGGUGAGGUAAUGGCUCACCAAGACGAUGAUGGUUAGCCGGCCUGAGAGGGCGUACGGCCACACUGGAACUUAGACACGUCCAGACUCCUACGGGAGGCAGCAGUGGGGAAUAUUGCGCAAUGGGCGAAAGCCUGACGCAGCGACGCCGCGUGGAGGAUGAAGGUCUUCGGAUUGUAAACUUCUGUUAAGUGAGAGGAAAUACCCAUACUUAAUACGUAUGGGGGAUGACUGUAUCAUUAGAGAAAGCACCGGCUAAACUCGUGCCAGCAGCCGCGGUAAUACGAGUGGUGCAAGCGUUAUUCGGAAUAAUUGGGCGUAAAGGGUGUGUAGACGGCAUGUUAAGUCAAUUGUUAAAUUCUCCGGCCUAACCGGAGGCAAGCAGUAGAAACUGGCGUGCUAGAGGGUGGAAGAGAGAGGCGGAAUUCUCGGAGUAGCGGUAAAAUGCGUAGAUCUCGAGAGGAACACCAAUGGCGAAGGCAGCCUCUUGGUCCAUUUCUGACGUUGAAACACGAAAGCGUGGGGAGCAAACAGGAUUAGAUACCCUGGUAGUCCACGCCGUAAACGAUGAUCACUAGACGUUAGUUCUGUUUUUACGGAAUUAGUGUCGCAGCUAACGCGUUAAGUGAUCCGCCUGGGAAUUACGGUCGCAAGAUUAAAACUCAAAGGAAUUGAC